CAUAGUUUUAGACAUAUAUUAUCAAGACUAUCUUAAUAAUGGUUUCGGAAACCUAUAUUAUGUCCAAAUAUUGAAUCACCAUUUAGUUGUAGCUAGCAAUCUUCGAAUUAAUUGAAACUAAGACUACGUCAAAAAUGGUUCCUUCAAAGUCAACCAUUCUCUUUGAUUGUAGUCACCUUAAGCUACCAAUUAGCUUAUGAAGGUUUCAUUAUUUCGGGUUAAAUGGUACUUUACCAUUUCCUUGAGUAUAUAUCAUAUAUACACUCAAUGUAGUCAUAAGGAUUUUCAUUCUUAUUUCUUUCGAAUUAAGAGGUGCAACUCUAUGACAUAGUCAUAAAGUUCAAACCAUUUAACUGAGACGGUUUAUAAAUCCUUAUCGACUACCUUGGAGCUUUUGAUAUAGGAACUAGGUUGUUUAUAUUUGUUGAUUACUUUCUUGUCUCUCAAAGAACCCAUUCUUUGAGUUCUAUCUCUCGUUUAUUUGCUUUUAGGCAAAUCACAUUGUAGGAUUACAAUGAACUACCCAACAAAACAACAUUUGUUAGUUGGUUUAUAGAAGUGAUAUCCAAAAGUUAAUUUAAGGUAUCCCACAAGAUUGUUAUCAAACAAAUAUUGCUUAUUAGCACACAACCCCAAAUCUUAACAUGCUUGAGAUUUGUCUUUCUUUCCAACUACAUCUUAUGGAGUCAUGAAAAUAUUGGAAGAUCUUCUAAUUUACAAUCAUAUUGUUUUUAGAAGUAUAUAUCCUAUAUAUGGGUAAUUGAUAAUAUCCAACGAACUAAAUCUUUAUUCAAGUUCGUUCUUCUCCUAAUGGAGAAAUCUAUUAUCUUAUGAUGCUUCUUUCCUUGAUAUCUUUCAAGAAAACUAUUCUAAAGUGUUACCAUUCCUUGGAUCAAAUCUAAGGAUGUAAAUACUUUAGACGUCUUACUCAUCAACUUACAUUACUUGAAUUCUUUGAAACAUUUUGCAAAGUAUUCGGACUUGUGUUUAUUCAAAAUAAACUAUAGUCCAACCGAGAGUGAUCUUCGGUGAAUGUCAUCCAACAUGAGUAGUAUUAUGUUGUGGAUAAGUGCCACUAAUAUCUAAGUGAAUUAACCUCAACAACUUUGUGAUUCUUUCUUCUUUCCAAAAGAAUAAAGAUUCGAACAUUUCGCCUCUAUACAAUUUUAACAAGAAGGUAUUGGAUCCGGAUCUAACAAUCCAAAGCAUCCAUCUUUCACCAACUCAUAACUUAUGUUUUUAGAGGAAUCACAACUUAGUUGGGAUUAGUCACUACCUUGCAACCUUUUUGGGUUUAAGCAUCAUUAUGUUCUAAACAGUUAACACUACCAUAUCAUCUCUACUAUAGAGACAAUCAAUUAGAUUACUAUAAUCCAAU
RNAcentral lists this long non-coding RNA (1378 nucleotides) under Malus domestica (apple). Its description in RNAcentral is "long non-coding RNA (MDOM_LNC000602)". The record is from RNAcentral. Lineage: Eukaryota; Viridiplantae; Streptophyta; Magnoliopsida; Rosales; Rosaceae.